RNAcentral lists this ribosomal RNA (437 nucleotides) under uncultured bacterium. RNAcentral describes it as "partial 16S ribosomal RNA". It matches the Rfam family "Bacterial small subunit ribosomal RNA", at positions 28 to 507 of the family's 1533-position model. The record is from RNAcentral.
GAUGAACGCUGGCUGCAUGCUUAACACAUGUAAGUCGGACGGGACGUGGUGUUUCCCGUGGCUGACGGGUGAGUAACGCGUAAGAUCCUGCCCUUGGGAGGGGAACAACAACUGGAAACGGUUGCUAAUACCCCGUAGCCUGAGUAGCACUCGGAGGAAUCCGCCCGAGGUGGGGUUUGCGUCUGAUUAGCUAGUUGGUGAGGUAAUAGCUUACCAAGGCGAUGAUCAGUAGCUGGUCCGAGAGGAUGAUAAGCCACACUGGGAGUGAGACACGGAGGAGAGGCCUAGGGGAGGCAGGAGAGGGGAAUUAGCCGCAAUGGGCGAAAGCCGGACGGAGCAAGGCGGGGUGGAGGUAGAGGGGCGACGGGUCGGGAACGUCUGUUAGCGAAGAAGAAACAAUGACGGGAUCUGAGGAAUAAGCAUCGGCUAACUCUGUG